Phanerochaete carnosa HHB-10118-sp is the source of this 93-nucleotide transfer RNA. It matches the Rfam family "tRNA". From Rfam's summary of the family: Transfer RNA (tRNA) molecules are approximately 80 nucleotides in length. The record is from Rfam. NCBI's taxonomy places the organism in Eukaryota, Fungi, Basidiomycota, Agaricomycetes, Polyporales, Phanerochaetaceae.
GCCCGCCUAGCUCAAUCGGAUAGAGCGUGAGACUUUUAAGUCUGUGGGCUUCAAUUAAUCUCAAGGCUGCGGGUUCGACCCCCGCGGUGGGCU